RNAcentral lists this ribosomal RNA (253 nucleotides) under uncultured bacterium. RNAcentral describes it as "partial 16S ribosomal RNA". It matches the Rfam family "Bacterial small subunit ribosomal RNA", at positions 524 to 776 of the family's 1533-position model. The record is from RNAcentral.
UACGGGGGGGGCAAGCGUUGUUCGGAAUUACUGGGCGUAAAGGGCUCGUAGGUGGCCAACUAAGUCAGACGUGAAAUCCCUCGGCUUAACCGGGGAACUGCGUCUGAUACUGGAUGGCUUGAGUUUGGGAGAGGGAUGCGGAAUUCCAGGUGUAGCGGUGAAAUGCGUAGAUAUCUGGAGGAACACCGGUGGCGAAGGCGGCAUCCUGGACCAUGACUGACGCUGAGGAGCGAAAGCCAGGGGAGCAAACGGG